This 595-nucleotide long non-coding RNA is filed under the name Callithrix jacchus (white-tufted-ear marmoset). RNAcentral's name for it is "lncRNA (ENSCJAG00000060341.2)". Lineage: Eukaryota; Metazoa; Chordata; Mammalia; Primates; Cebidae. The record is from RNAcentral.
CAUUCUGCUUUCUAGGUAGAUCUGUUAUUUACACUAUAGGGUCACAUCUGAAAGGGUUUACUGAGGAGGAAUUUUGUUUCUGAAAAACACUCACUUUUUUUUUUUUUUUUUUUUUUUGAGACAGGCUUGCUCUAUUGCUUAGGUUGGAGUACAAUUGUGUGCUACCAGCUCACUGCAGCCACAAGAUCCUGGGCUCAAGUGAUCCUCCUGCCUCAUUCUCCCCAGAAGAUAAGAUUUACAGACAAAUUGGCUGGAACAGACUUCCUUUGUUUUUGAUGACCUGAAAACUUUGGAGAACUGAUCAGGUAUUUUAUAGACUGUCUCUCAAUUUGUUAUUGUCUGAUUAUUGAAUUUAUCAUUUUGUGGAGGGGGACUACAGAGGUGAAAUAAUAUCUUCAUCACAUUAUGUCAAGGGCUCACAUUGUCAACAUGACUUAUUUCUGUUGAUGUAAAUCUUGAUCACCUGGUUGAGGUAGUAGCGGUUGUCAGGUUUAUACAUUGUGAAGUUACUCUCUUUGCCCUGCCUUCCAUAUUGUACCCUUUGGAGGAAAGUCACUUAUUCAUAGCUGACAGUUAAGAGAUGAAGUGUUCAGUC